Molecule: small nucleolar RNA, 86 nt
Filed under: Microcebus murinus (gray mouse lemur)
Lineage: Eukaryota; Metazoa; Chordata; Mammalia; Primates; Cheirogaleidae
Description: Small nucleolar RNA SNORD35 (ENSMICG00000025515.3)
Rfam family: Small nucleolar RNA SNORD35
About the family: U35 is a C/D box snoRNA located in intron 6 of ribosomal protein L13A and intron 3 of ribosomal protein S11 in humans and at homologous positions in mouse and chicken ribosomal protein genes. U35 guides the methylation of 2'-O-ribose sites in 28S rRNA.
Source: Rfam by way of RNAcentral
AGCAGAUAAUGUCUUUGCUCUCAUGACGGGCUGCAAAUGUCCUGCAGGCAGUACCAACAAUGCAAUGAUUCUGCUGAUGCGGUGAU